GAUGAACGCUGGCGGCGUGCCUAAUACAUGCAAGUCGAGCGAACAGACGAGGAGCUUGCUCCUCUGACGUUAGCGGCGGACGGGUGAGUAACACGUGGAUAACCUACCUAUAAGACUGGGAUAACUUCGGGAAACCGGAGCUAAUACCGGAUAAUAUAUUGAACCGCAUGGUUCAAUAGUGAAAGACGGUUUUGCUGUCACUUAUAGAUGGAUCCGCGCCGCAUUAGCUAGUUGGUAAGGUAACGGCUUACCAAGGCAACGAUGCGUAGCCGACCUGAGAGGGUGAUCGGCCACACUGGAACUGAGACACGGUCCAGACUACUACGGGAGGCAGCAGUAGGGAAUCUUCCGCAAAGGGCGAAAGCCUGACGGAGCAACGCCGCGUGAGUGAUGAAGGUCUUCGGAUCGUAAAACUCUGUUAUUAGGGAAGAACAAAUGUGUAAGUAACUAUGCACGUCUUGACGGUACCUAAUCAGAAAGCCACGGCUAACUACGUG
This 497-nucleotide ribosomal RNA is filed under the name uncultured bacterium. RNAcentral's name for it is "partial 16S ribosomal RNA". It matches the Rfam family "Bacterial small subunit ribosomal RNA", at positions 28 to 507 of the family's 1533-position model. The record is from RNAcentral.